RNAcentral lists this ribosomal RNA (684 nucleotides) under Listeria monocytogenes. RNAcentral describes it as "partial 23S ribosomal RNA". It matches the Rfam family "Bacterial large subunit ribosomal RNA", at positions 693 to 1375 of the family's 2925-position model. The record is from RNAcentral. Lineage: Bacteria; Bacillati; Bacillota; Bacilli; Caryophanales; Listeriaceae.
GCAUAAGUAACAGGUCGUAGACCCGAAACCAGGUGAUCUACCCAUGUCCAGGAUGAAGGUAAGGUAAUACUUACUGGAGGUCCGAACCCACGCACGUUGAAAAGUGCGGGGAUGAGGUGUGGGUAGCGGAGAAAUUCCAAUCGAACUUGGAGAUAGCUGGUUCUCUCCGAAAUAGCUUUAGGGCUAGCCUCGAGGUAAAGAGUCAUGGAGGUAGAGCACUGUUUGGACUAGGGGCCCUUCUCGGGUUACCGAAUUCAGAUAAACUCCGAAUGCCAUGUACUUAUACUCGGGAGUCAGACUGCGAGUGAUAAGAUCCGUAGUCGAAAGGGAAACAGCCCAGACCACCAGUUAAGGUCCCCAAAUAUAUGUUAAGUGGAAAAGGAUGUGGGGUUGCUUAGACAACCAGGAUGUUGGCUUAGAAGCAGCCACCAUUGAAAGAGUGCGUAAUAGCUCACUGGUCGAGUGACCCCGCGCCGAAAAUGUACCGGGGCUAAACAUAUUACCGAAACUGUGGAUGAACCUCUUUAGAGGUUCGUGGUAGGAGAGCGUUCUAAGGGCGGUGAAGUCAGACCGGAAGGACUGGUGGAGCGCUUAGAAGUGAGAAUGCCGGUAUGAGUAGCGAAAGAAGGGUGAGAAUCCCUUCCACCGAAUAUCUAAGGUUUCCUGAGGAAGGCUCGUCCGCUC